RNAcentral lists this ribosomal RNA (428 nucleotides) under Pseudorhodobacter sp. RNAcentral's name for it is "bacterial SSU rRNA". It matches the Rfam family "Bacterial small subunit ribosomal RNA", at positions 198 to 646 of the family's 1533-position model. Lineage: Bacteria; Pseudomonadati; Pseudomonadota; Alphaproteobacteria; Rhodobacterales; Paracoccaceae. The record is from RNAcentral.
GGGGGAAAGAUUUAUCGGGAAGGGAUCGGCCCGCGUUGGAUUAGGUAGUUGGUGGGGUAAUGGCCUACCAAGCCGACGAUCCAUAGCUGGUUUGAGAGGAUGAUCAGCCACACUGGGACUGAGACACGGCCCAGACUCCUACGGGAGGCAGCAGUGGGGAAUCUUAGACAAUGGGGGAAACCCUGAUCUAGCCAUGCCGCGUGAUCGAUGAAGGCCUUAGGGUUGUAAAGAUCUUUCAGAUGGGAAGAUAAUGACGGUACCAUCAGAAGAAGCCCCGGCUAACUCCGUGCCAGCAGCCGCGGUAAUACGGAGGGGGCUAGCGUUAUUCGGAAUUACUGGGCGUAAAGCGCACGUAGGCGGAUCAGAAAGUCAGAGGUGAAAUCCCGGGGCUCAACCCCGGAACGGCCUUUGAAACUCCUGGUCUUGAG